RNAcentral lists this transfer RNA (76 nucleotides) under Vicugna pacos (alpaca). RNAcentral's name for it is "tRNA-Thr (AGT) (tRNA-Thr-AGT-44-1)". It matches the Rfam family "tRNA". From Rfam's summary of the family: Transfer RNA (tRNA) molecules are approximately 80 nucleotides in length. The record is from RNAcentral. Lineage: Eukaryota; Metazoa; Chordata; Mammalia; Artiodactyla; Camelidae.
GGGGCUGGGUAUAGCUCAGUGGUAGAGCGCAUGCUUAGUAUGCAUGAGGUCCUGGGUUCAAUACCCAGUAUCUCCA